This 73-nucleotide transfer RNA is filed under the name Pseudoscardovia suis. RNAcentral describes it as "Bifidobacterium sp. DPTE4 tRNA". It matches the Rfam family "tRNA". Rfam says of the family: Transfer RNA (tRNA) molecules are approximately 80 nucleotides in length. RNAcentral also lists the same sequence under 2 other names. Lineage: Bacteria; Bacillati; Actinomycetota; Actinomycetes; Bifidobacteriales; Bifidobacteriaceae. The record is from Rfam by way of RNAcentral.
AGGGAAGUGGCGCAAUUGGUAGCGCAACGGUCUCCAAAACCGUAGGUUGUGGGUUCGAGUCCCGCCUUCCCUA